RNAcentral lists this unclassified non-coding RNA (2174 nucleotides) under Cimex lectularius (bed bug). Its description in RNAcentral is "leukocyte surface antigen CD53-like, transcript variant X6". The record is from RNAcentral. Lineage: Eukaryota; Metazoa; Arthropoda; Insecta; Hemiptera; Cimicidae.
AGUGAGAGAGAGAGAGAGUGAGAGAGAGAAGGGAGCACAGCUCACGACGAGUGCCUGAGAAAAUAACACAAGACACACUUGUGCCCGCGCACGCCAAUUGCUGCUGUCUUACUCAUAGGUAGUUCAUCUAAAAUAGAUAUAUAGGUAUAUAUUUUUAUCUGAAGACAAUUAUGUUUAUAAUAAAGUAUCUCUAACAUAGAUUUGGCAAAAUAUAAAAUGAAAUCGCGAAAUGAUCAAUGAUUUCCCAGUACGGGAAUUAUACGGUUUUUGUAUAGUUGAUAAACAAUACAACCGUCACAUUUGUGAGAAAAAAAGUUGAAUGAACCUAUUCAAUUGGCAUUGACGAACAACUGUCUUUAAAAUAUACUUCCUAAUUUCUAGCAAGCUCGUCUUUAACUUUAUCGCAUAAUACAUUUAAAUUGAAUUUUACGCUUUUGCCGUUGAAAUGGAAACGUUUAUUCCUAGGGACACAGAUUCCACAGAAGAUUUUAGGCCGACAUCUUCAAAGGUGAAAUCUGAACAAUUUCUAUCACAACUGAUUAAAACAUCUAUACUGAGGCAGAUAUACAGACAACAGGAUUCAUGCAUGGAUAUGAUUGAGGUCUUGAUAUUAACCAGUUGUGUCAUGCUAUUUUGCAGUGGAAUGAUCGGGAUUGUAUUUACAAGCUAUAGAUGGUAUUUUCUUCUGACAAUAUUUCAAAUGAGUAAUUAUAAUAUGACUAUCAUCCCAAGUGUUCUCUUCUUAAUAAGUGGCUUGCUACAACUAAUUAGUUCUGUCAUGUUGUUCUUUUGCAUCAACUACUCAGAUAAACGAUAUGCCAAGAAAUUUGGUUUAGUGAUACUUUUGAUGUGCAAUUUCAGUGCAAUUUUCCUGGCUUUGUUGCUAACCUGGGUCUUUAUAGUACCCAUAGAAAAUGAAUGGAAAGUAGGAGAGAGGUUGAAUGCGACAAUCCCUAUAGGUCCAUCCAUGAGCAAUUAUUCAAUAGUUUCAUGGGACACAUUGCAAAAAAAGUUCUUUUGCUGCGGAAUACAUAACGACAGUGAAUGGCUUGUUCUGAAUUUACCAUUGCCUCCGCAUUGCUGUCGAAACUCUAAGAAUGAAAGUACAACAUCUUUUAAAUGUUCCAAACAAGGAUGCUCGAAGAAGUUGGUAGAUUACAUAAAAGAGGGUAACAGUUUCUUCACAGGUUUAGCAUGUGUGAACAUUGUGAAUAACAUGAUUUUGAUUCCUUUUCUCAUCUACCUUACUGUAGUGUGCAAUUAUCCUGUGGUGAUAAAAGUGGACACAUCAAAAGGAAACUCAGACAAAAUAAUAUCUGUUGUUUCGAGUCUUACAAAAAUGUUGAACGAGGUUGGCAUACAACCAGCAAAGAAAGAGAGUAAUUCCAACUACAAAAACUGGUUUUUUCACAUUUCGAAGUACAUUUGGAAAAACAAUUAAAUUAGCAUGUGUUUUAAUAUAUUAAUAAUUUACAAAGUAAAACAAGUACUUACAUGAAUAGAUAAAAAUCUGUUUGUAGAAGAAAAAACAAUGUAUUUUCAUUAUGCUGCAUCAGGAAAAGAAGAUGAAAUUAAAAUGACUGAACUUAUGGAUAUGAAAAGAGAACACAUAAAGCAGCCUCCAGAACUUAAGACGAUAAGAGGAGAACAUUUUUAUAAAUCGAUGCAAUAUGGAUUGCGAAUUGUGAAUGGGAUCAACACUGUCCUCAGCAUAUCAUUUCUAUUAAUAGGAAUGAUUUUGGUAUACAAAAGAGAAGAAGGAUUUGUCAUUAUUCAGAAAGACACCUACCAAUCGCUUUCAACAGCCAUGAUGUUAAAUGGAGCUGCAAUGACAUUAUUUUCUCUCUUAGGGUUUUUCACUCUACAAGUCACUUCAAGAAAAUAUUUGUUGCUAUUUCAUGCUAUUGUGGGUGCUGUAUUGUUGGGUAAUAUAGUCGUAUCAAUACUCAAGAUACCAACAGAAAAUGAUAUUUUAAACCAAACCAAAGAAUAUCUGUAUAAAAGCUUGGCUAUGUAUUACAACGAUUCUACUUACCAUUUUGUAUGGGAUAAUUUGCAGUAUAGGAUGCAUUGCUGCGGUAUUCUUAGCUAUAGAGAUUGGUGUCAUAAUAAUAAAGACAAUGUUUCGGUUUGUGACAUACCUACUAGCUGUGCCCACUGCAAUUUACCAUGUG